Molecule: transfer RNA, 65 nt
Filed under: Pseudoechthistatus chiangshunani
Lineage: Eukaryota; Metazoa; Arthropoda; Insecta; Coleoptera; Cerambycidae
Description: tRNA-Arg
Source: RNAcentral
UAAUAAGAAGCAAAUCUUGCAUUUAGUUUCGACCUAAAAAUUUGGUAUUUAUUUACCCUUAUUUU